CCGCCACUGACCGUUAAACCGAGGUCGUAUCGUAUAUCGGCCAUUCCAAAUAUGGACCCUUCCAAGUUUUGACCCACGCUGACAAUUUAGUGCAGAUUUCAAUCGUUCGAAUCGUUAUUUUACAGUCCAAUAUUGAUGAGCAAUCAACAUUGUUUGCUUUAAUUGCAUAGUAUUAGUGAGAAAUUAUUGCGCAUACCUUCCGUGUUCUUCUUCUGUUCACAUAGCUUCGGAAAGUGUUGUCGAAAUUUUUUCUCCGAAAAGGAAGAUAAUUCGAAGACAAUGUUUGGUAGUCCAACGUCGACAUCUUCCUGCGGUGAUAUUUAGCGACACUGAUUCUAAUAAAAAAAAAAAAACAAAUCAAUGAUUCAAUUUCACGAGCUAAAUACUAGAUUCCAAGCUCGGGAAAAAUGCGCCAGCGGUUAAGUGACCAAACCGACUACUACGCAGUCCCGAAUGGAAUGACUUGCAACGGUUAGACGAAACUUGUUUGUGCCGAAACGAGUUGGGUGGUGGGAGAAGACGCCGUCGCUCAUUGGCCGAUAUUGGUGGUGAUCGUGGAAUCACGUAUCAUCUAUCCCUUCCCUCAAUCUUACCGAGAAUGCGUUAGGUAGUGUUUCUACCCUAACCCAAAGAGUAGAAAUACUACCUAACCAAAGCCGUUAAAUCCAUAGACUGAAAUGAGUUUCAAAUGGAAACGAUUAUUCGGUUAUACUACGAAUAUAGCUCCAACACUGUUGUCAACAGAGUCACCUUAAGUCUAUAAAAUAAUACAAACUGAAAAAAAUUUCUUCUGUUUAAGUAAAUAUCUGACUAGUUCGUCCUGAUUUGUUUCAUUUGAUUUAAGAUUUGUUUGAUUGAAAUAAGUCGUACUAAAAUAUCAUAGAUUCACUAAUUCUAAGAUCAAUGCAAUAGUCGUUUAAUUUAAUUUUUCUUUUCUAAAAACAAGUAAAUAUCGUUGUUUUUUUAUGUUGCAUUGUUUACUUAGCAUAAAGUCUUUACAGUGCGUGUGUCAAGUAUUGUUCCAAAACUCAAUUGUAAUUUUUACUCGGGUUUUGUUUACAACUAGAGUCGAGUGGUUUUUUUCCGAUACUUUCUGCUCAUAUUUGAAUAUUAGUAUACCGCAGGGUUAAGAAAAAACAACUAUCCUUGUUUACAAAUAAUGCUGCAUGGUAUAAAGAAAUGUAAAUAUUGCCUGUUCACGUGAAUUUUGUUGAACGAAUAUCCAAGUUGAGCUUAUUUUUGUACAUUGGAAGUAUAAAUAAAUAUACAUUUCG
Neodiprion fabricii is the source of this 1274-nucleotide long non-coding RNA. RefSeq lists it as uncharacterized. The record is from RefSeq and is a predicted model, not a curated record. The transcript is spliced from 3 exons. NCBI's taxonomy places the organism in Eukaryota, Metazoa, Arthropoda, Insecta, Hymenoptera, Diprionidae.